AUUGCAGAAGUCUGAAGAUAAGUUGCAGAUGUGGCUGCUGUAUCACACAUGAGUCAGUAGGUGGCAGAGAGAAAAGAGGUUAUGUCUACACUCAGUGUUCUGACCUGAGAACAUCUAUCUGAAUGUAGUAGCCUGACAUU
Rattus norvegicus (Norway rat) is the source of this 140-nucleotide small nucleolar RNA. Ensembl annotates it as small nucleolar RNA SNORA17. NCBI's taxonomy places the organism in Eukaryota, Metazoa, Chordata, Mammalia, Rodentia, Muridae. The record is from Ensembl.